RNAcentral lists this long non-coding RNA (240 nucleotides) under Prunus persica (peach). Its description in RNAcentral is "long non-coding RNA (PPER_LNC008766)". Lineage: Eukaryota; Viridiplantae; Streptophyta; Magnoliopsida; Rosales; Rosaceae. The record is from RNAcentral.
CCACAUACAAGGCUAGGAGUGUCCAAUUUGAUUGGAAAAAGUAUGAGGGUUCACAAUAGAGAUUGAGGAUUCGAAUGGACACAAAAGAUCUACCAAAACAAGAGUCAAAAAAAUUGAACAGAUUCAACAAUAUCCGUCUGUACCGUGAGCUAGGGUUGGCCACAUCAAACGCUAGAAGUUUCCAAUUUGAGUGGAAAAAGUAUGAGGCUUCACAUUAGAUAUUGAGGAUUUGAAUGGACA